UACGUAGGGACCGAGCGUUGUCCGGAAUCAUUGGGCGUAAAGAGCGUGUAGGCGGCUAUUUAAGUCCUGCGUGAAAUCCUGCGGCUCAACCGCAGACGGUCGUGGGAAACUGGAUGGCUAGAGUGCGGGAGAGGAGAGUGGAAUUCCCGGUGUAGCGGUGAAAUGCGCAGAUAUCGGGAGGAACACCCGUGGCGAAGGCGGCUCUCUGGAACGCAACUGACGCUGAGACGCGAAAGCGUGGGGAGCAAACAGG
Molecule: ribosomal RNA, 253 nt
Filed under: uncultured bacterium
Lineage: Bacteria
Description: partial 16S ribosomal RNA
Rfam family: Bacterial small subunit ribosomal RNA
Source: RNAcentral